AAACCAACCGGGAUUGCCUUAGUAACGGCGAGUGAAGCGGCAAAAGCUCAAAUUUGAAAUCUGGUACCUUCGGUGCCCGAGUUGUAAUUUGGAGAGGGCAACUUUGGGGCCGUUCCUUGUCUAUGUUCCUUGGAACAGGACGUCAUAGAGGGUGAGAAUCCCGUGUGGCGAGGAGUGCGGUUCUUUGUAAAGUGCCUUCGAAGAGUCGAGUUGUUUGGGAAUGCAGCUCUAAGUGGGUGGUAAAUUCCAUCUAAAGCUAAAUAUUGGCGAGAGACCGAUAGCGAACAAGUACAGUGAUGGAAAGAUGAAAAGAACUUUGAAAAGAGAGUGAAAAAGUACGUGAAAUUGUUGAAAGGGAAGGGCAUUUGAUCAGACAUGGUGUUUUGUGCCCUCUGCUCCUUGUGGGUAGGGGAAUCUCGCAUUUCACUGGGCCAGCAUCAGUUUUGGUGGCAGGAUAAAUCCAUAGGAAUGUAGCUUGCCUCGGUAAGUAUUAUAGCCUGUGGGAAUACUGCCAGCUGGGACUGAGGACUGCGAUGUAAGUCAAGGAUGCUGGCAUAAUGGUUAUAUGCCGCCCGUCUUGAAACACGGACC
RNAcentral lists this ribosomal RNA (591 nucleotides) under Saccharomyces cerevisiae (brewer's yeast). RNAcentral describes it as "eukaryotic LSU rRNA". It matches the Rfam family "Eukaryotic large subunit ribosomal RNA", at positions 62 to 667 of the family's 3401-position model. Lineage: Eukaryota; Fungi; Ascomycota; Saccharomycetes; Saccharomycetales; Saccharomycetaceae. The record is from RNAcentral.